CAUGCUUGCAAAAUGGAGAUGUUGGAGUGUCUACUGCAGCGCAAUGGGAUAGGCCAUGUCCCUGGAGCACUAGGACGCAGGUUCGAUUCCCAGCCCAGUAGAGUGAGUUGAGGGUCUAGCUUGCCACAGCUAUGGCAUUGGUUGCAGUGGCAGCUCAGAUGGGUCUGAUCCCUGGCCCCGGGGAACUCCAUAUUCUGUGAAGCAGCCGAAAGAAUUUUCAAAAAUAAAAAUAAAUUAUUAGAAAGAAUGGAGAUGUUCUCCGUGAGGCUUCUGUCACAAGCAGCCCUUUUUCUGCCAGAGCGGGGAAUCUAUCAUGAGUUCCUUUUUAAUGCACUUGUUUAUACCUGCCACAGAGUGCCUUGGCCUGCUGGUCAGUGUUUCCAGUGCUGCUGCUUCAGAGCAAGGCAGCGCUUUUGUGUGUGCCUAUUACAAACACAUUAGCCACACGCGUGGCUCCUCGUCUCCCUUACACCACGCAGCCAGAGUGAUUGAAACGCGACAUUUUAAACCCCAAAGCAAAUUACAGCAAAGAAUCGGUGUGAAAUUACCAUCCUCUGCUCGGAGUUCCUUUCUAAAAGUCAGGCAGCGGAGCCCAGGAUAAAAGUUGGCCUGUCAGACAAGCCCAUUCAAGCUUGCAAUUCCGCUGUCAUUUGCCCGACGGGGCUGUGAUAAAGAACAAGGAUAAAAAAAAAAAAAAAGUCUGCCAAAAAUAGUGCCACUGAGAAACUGACACCCGGGCGAACUCAGGGGCCAAGGCCGGCCAGGCUCUACGCUCUCCCAAAGGACAGCAGCACUGAGGACUUGUUCUGACGGGGACAUGUGUGACCUCGGCUUUCAGCACCAAGGAGAUGGGGACAGAUCGGGCUGCAGAGAGAGCUGCCUCUGUGAAUCCCGGAAGAAAGGGCAGGGAGAACAAAGUUUACACUGAAAAUCUGGACUUUCCAAGCAGCAUGUUGAGACAGACCCACAGCAGACAGAUUCCAUGGAAUAGCCUGAUGUUUCCCAGAAGGCUGGGGACCCCCACCGCCCGCCCCCAGCAGUGCCCCAGGCUGACAAGGGGAUUGAAGUCGGAAAGUCAGACGCCUGUCCAGUGCCUGAGAAAGCGGCCUCUGUGCUCCUGCUGGAUUUCACAGCAGGGCCAAGGGCCUCACUUCCCUCCUUUGCAAAGGAAAAUAGCCAUUCUGGCAUCAACUUUGCUGAUGAGGAUUUAUCUCCGAAGCCAAAAGGAAAAAAAGUCACCUCUUGAGUCCUAAUUAGAAUGAUUCCUCUACUUAAUUUAUUCAGGAUAGCCUCCUGAAUUGGC
Molecule: long non-coding RNA, 1303 nt
Organism: Sus scrofa (pig)
Lineage: Eukaryota; Metazoa; Chordata; Mammalia; Artiodactyla; Suidae
Source: RefSeq, a predicted model, not a curated record